RNAcentral lists this transfer RNA (72 nucleotides) under Lichenostomus cassidix (helmeted honeyeater). RNAcentral describes it as "tRNA-Trp". It matches the Rfam family "tRNA". Rfam says of the family: Transfer RNA (tRNA) molecules are approximately 80 nucleotides in length. Their secondary structure includes four short double-helical elements and three loops (D, anti-codon, and T loops). Further hydrogen bonds mediate the characteristic L-shaped molecular structure. tRNAs have two regions of fundamental functional importance: the anti-codon, which is responsible for specific mRNA codon recognition, and the 3' end, to which the tRNAs corresponding amino acid is attached (by aminoacyl-tRNA synthetases). tRNAs cope with the degeneracy of the genetic code in two manners: having more than one tRNA (with a specific anti-codon) for a particular amino acid; and 'wobble' base-pairing, i.e. permitting non-standard base-pairing at the 3rd anti-codon position. The record is from RNAcentral. Lineage: Eukaryota; Metazoa; Chordata; Aves; Passeriformes; Meliphagidae.
AGAAACUUAGGAUUAAUUUUAAACCGAAGGCCUUCAAAGCCUUAAACAAGAGUUAGACUCUCUUAGUUUCUG